GCUGGAAUCUCAGAGGCCAGUGUCCUGUAGCAGAGCCUUCCCUGUGAAAUGUUCCGCCGCCUUCGAAGGCUAGGUUGCUACCAGGAUCACACAGCACAGGUGGCCGAGCAGCCGCCCCAUGCUUCUCUGCUGAUUAUUGAAUUGCGCCUUCUGCACCUGCACAUCUUCUACAGGAUUCUCCAAGUGUAUCUUCCAGCAGUGCAGUUGCUGCAAGUCAUAACAAUACACAGAAACUCUUGGAAAACGCACCAAGUCUCACACUCAGGCGCUCCUGGAACCAUGAGCAGCAAUGGAACGGACCCAGCCAUCGGAUACAUCUGCUCCUCCAUAGCUAUCCUUUUGUUUGGCUCAAACUUUGUGCCACUGAAAAAAUGUGACACUGGGGAUGGUAUGUUUCUCCAGUGGAUCCUUUGUGCUGCCAUCUGGUUGGUUGCCUUGGUGGUCAACCUGAUACUGCAUUGCCCCAAGUUCUGGCCUCUUGCAAUGCUCGGGGGCUGCAUUUGGGCAACAGGGAACAUUGCUGUUGUCCCAAUUAUCAAAACCAUUGGUUUAGGCCUUGGAAUCUUAAUCUGGGGAUCAUUUAACGCCUUAACUGGCUGGGCAAGCUCAAGGUUUGGCUGGUUUGGAAUGGAUGCAGAAGAAGUACCCAAACCACUGCUGAAUUACACUGGAGCUGGGCUAUCAGUAGUAAGUGCUUUCAUAUUUUUGUUCAUCAAAAGUGAAAUACCGAAUAACACGUGUUCCGUGGAUACCACACCACUAAUAGCAGAGCAUGUGAUCAACACAGCUCAAGAUUCCUGUCCCAGUGAUUCCAGUGACUCCUGGGUGGAUAAGCUGUCUACAGUUCACCGCCGCCUAGUAGGUUGCAGUCUGGCCGUGAUAUCUGGAGUACUCUAUGGGUCUACAUUUGUGCCAAUCAUUUAUAUCAAGGACCACAGCAAAAGAAAUGAUAGCACGUAUGCAGGGGCAAGCCAGUAUGAUUUGGACUAUGUGUUUGCACACUUCAGUGGCAUCUUUCUUACAAGUACCGUCUACUUUCUGGCUUACUGUGUAGUCAUGAAAAAUAGUCCUAAACUGUAUCCUGAAGCAGUCUUACCAGGCUUCCUGUCGGAAGUGCUCUGGGCGAUAGCCACCUGCUGUUGGUUCAUAGCUAAUCACUCUCUAAGUGCCGUGGUCAGCUUUCCAAUCAUCACUGCUGGCCCAGGAUUUAUAGCUGCAAUGUGGGGUGUCUUCAUGUUUAAAGAAAUACAGGUGGAUAAUUCUCUGUUAAUCCAAAGAUGGACCGGGUUACCCCGGGAAGCGGCUGCUCUCCAUGGUCUCAGCUUUAAGAGCCCUGUCCCAUUCUUCACACCUCGCGCCACGUCUCCGCCUCAUCCUUGGGAAUCCUCUCCAGCCACCCACAUGCUCCUCAUCGCCCUUCCUCUGGAGCAUGCAGCCACUUUCUCCUGGGUCCCCUCGCCUCCGUGGGGUCCCUGGAGUCUGUCCACCAUCUCGCAGAAAUGUGUGGAUGAGCACAUCUGACCUGUUCACCGAAUGUGACUGCCUGCUCCCUUGGUGUCUUCCUGUGGCUUGGAAAGCAGAGCCCAGAGGGUCUGAAAAACUACUUAUUAAUGACACUUGCAUUCUGCAUCAUCGUGACCGCCGCGCUGUGCACUGCGUUUUCUAAACUCUGACGACACCCGGCCAGCAGAUGGCAGCAGUGCCCGCCAGAGCGAGCCCGGCUGCGAUGCGUUCCUUCACACACCUGCAGCCUCUGCACCGCUCCCGCCGUGGGGGAAGGAUUUUUCUUCUUCAGAGCAGCGUGAGAAUGAAGGAAAACUGAAUUUCUGCCAAGUACAAACAUGGAGGACUCCUCUGGCGAACUGUCUCUGAAGAAAGUUCGUCCCGGGUAACCUGAAGGUCUACAGUCCUGCACACUGCCACAGGCCGAGCCCAGUGAACGAGGUCCGGCCCGAGGCUCUGGCCGCAGCCUGGGGAGCGGGCACCGGGCUGCCUCACCGUGCAGUCAGACUGCACAGGCAGGUCUCUGCUAGAGGAAGGCAUGUCACAGUGGGUAACGACGUUAAAAAUGCCGCUUCAUUACUUUUUGCCAGAAUUUGUUUUUCCAAUUAAUGUUUCCCAAUUCCGUCCUAUCCACCCAUCUACGCUCAGAGUGCCUUUGAUUAUCUCCAGAUAAAGUCCGUCCUGAGAACACACACGCGUCACGCCAUGGGGAGUGUGUGCAUAUUAUAAACAGACACAGGUACACGCACAGGCAAGUACACACACGCCCAAACGGAGGGAAAUUCUACAGUUGCUAAGUGAGAUUUUUAGUUUAUCAGUGAUAAUUUGAGUGGACCAGUACUGCUUGAAUACACAUUUGUUUCCUGAAAUAGGCUUCUCUAGACAACCUUUUGCUGGCAGUUUUCCAGCUUUCAUUUUGUUUUUGUCUUCCUUUUUAACUGGUGGUUUCUAGUAGGCAAAAGAAAGUGGCAGACCUGCUGGUAGUAUUUCUCUAAGAAAUGUCUUUAAGAAAAGGGAAAUGGAACUGGGCUAGUGCACACGGUUUAUAGUAAGACCCCUAUUCAAGUAUGCGUUUCACUGCUUCCCACCUGACUCUGCUGGGGAACCAGCAGCUCCUACGGGCACGACCACUGAGGCGAGCCGGUGUGGACUUAAAUCCCACCUGUGCGCCACCUCAGCCGUGUGACUCGGGAAAAAGCCCAGAGCCCUCUGUAGCCGAUUCUUCAUCAAUAAAGUGCAUCACGAAGCUGUUGUGUGGGGCCAGCUGGUGGAAGACUGUAGAGUGUGUUCGUGAGUACUUGGCAGGUGUUCUAUCAUCGUGAGCUAUUAGGACGGCGUGCUGUUGGAGAUGUAGAAAAAUGUCUCUAGAUCAGAAAGUGCAUUGAAAAACUACUCCCCUCCCCGCUGAAACACUUAUUACUAUGAAUUCCUAAUAAAUAAUACUGGAGUCCCAUUAAUUAUUGAAUUAUUAAUGCAGAUACAUAUUUCACUGUAACUUCCUAUAAUCCUUUCAUUUUAAACUGAAAUGUCAUUAAAUUAUGCUGAUCAGUGGAAUAAACUGACAUGGUACAAAAGCUGUUUUUCUUGUUUAAAUGUAUGUUACAACCAUAAGGCCAGCGCUGUGGUGCCGUGAGUUAAUUUGCCACUUGAGAUGCUGGCAUGCCAUAUCAGAGCACCAGUUCAAAUCCCGGCUGCUACAUGUCUGAUCCAGCUUCCUGCUCACACGCCUAGGAAGGCUGCAGAUGAUGGCCCAAGUACCUGAGCCCCUACCACACGUGUAGAAGAUCAGUCUAGGGUUCUGGCUCCUGGCUUCAGCCAGGCCCAGACCUGGCUGUUGUAGCCAUUUGGGUAGCAAACCAGUGGACAGAUCUUGAUCUCUUUCCCCCGCCAUUCUGCCUUUCAAAUCACUAAAUCUCAUAUGUAUUACAUAUAUAUAUAUAUAUAUAUAUAAAAUUUUAUAGGCCGGCGCCGUGGCUCACUAGGCUAAUCCUCCGCCUUGCGGCGCCAGCACACCGGGUUCUAGUCCCGGUCGGGGCGCUGGAUUCUGUCCCGGUUGCCCCUCUUCCAGGCCAGCUCUCUGCUGUGGCCCGGGAGUGCAGUGGAGGAUGGCCCAAGUCCUUGGGCCCUGCACCCCAUGGGAGACCAGAAGAAGCACCUGGCUCCUGGCUUUGGAUCAGCACAGUGCACCAGCUGCAGCGCACCGGCUGUGGCGGCCAUUGGAGGGUGAACCAACGGCAAAGGAAGACCUUUCUCUCUGUCUCUCUCACUGUCCACUUUGCCUGUCAAAAAAAAAAAAAAAGAAUUUUAUAGAUAUUUGCAUUAUUCUUUAGCUUGAGAUUGCCAACCUAUAUGCAAAAUUAAUUGUGGAGUAAAGCAGUUAAGAAAAAUGGGGAGGGGAAGGUCACAUUAAUAGUGUACAGUUUCUGCUGCCACCCAGUAGCUGCAAUGUUGGUAGCAGAUGACAUUCCAAACUCAAAGCCCCCUUGCGAUGUUUCCUCGUUCUUUCCCUGAAAGUUCCUGCAUUUUUUGCUUUAACAGUAGGUCUGAUCAUUUAUUUUAAGUUUCUGCUUUCUUAGGAAAACUGCAGAGGGCACCAGCACCCUUCCACGCCCCUCUAGGGAAACUGCCUCUCCUACCUGAGCAUGAAACUGUCCAGACGCCUGCUCCAGGAAGUGGACUGGAGUCAUGUUCUCUAGCCUGCUGCCUGGCAUUAAACCUUAUUUUCUCAAAGACCAGCAUCACAGAGUGUGUGUGUGUGUGUGUGUGUGUGUGUGUGUGUCUGUGUCUGUGUGUCUGUGUCUCAUGACAGUAUGACCCCUGCUCCAGGAAGUGGACUGGAGUCAUGUUCUAUAUCUUACUGCCCGACAUUAAACCUUUUCUCAAAGACCAGCAUCACAGAUUGUGUGUGUGUGUGUGUGUGUGUGUGUGUAUGUCUCAUGACAGUAUCAGUAAGAUCAGUGUGGAGGAGACAAACCAAACAGCUGAUGAUUUAGAGGUCAAAAAAAGGACAGGUGGCAAAUCUCCCUUGGUUUGCUGAGCCUGCAAAGUUAAUGCUGAACUUUCUUGAGGUUUUGAAAGUUUACUUUUUACUGGUUUAGCGUGCCUAAUUCUUUCAAUAUUUCUGCAUCUUAUCUCAUCAAGUGGCACCUAACACUGCCUGCCAUCUUGUGGCCAGAUAGGGCACUACAAUUUUAAGCUACAAGUGGAACCUUUGAGGCCCCAUUCAGGCCAUGGGAACUUCCUAAGAUAGAAACAGCAAAUCCUACUAUGUUUUAGGACUGAUAGUACAGCACUUCUACUGAAUUACCUUCUUUACUCUGCUUGCACUGAUUUAUCUGUAUGUACAUCUACUAUACCUAUCUGUAUUCAUAGUAAUAAAAUGGAAAACCUUUUGAGUAAAAAGGAAGUUGUAGAGAACCAUGCACAUAGUAUGAUACCAGUUAGGUAAAAUUUGAGUAACCAAAGUCAUAUAUAGCCUCUAUAAAUACAUAUUUCUGUAAAAAAUUGAAGAUCCACAUCAGAUUCCUAAGUGAUGGCUUUUUUUUUUUUAUAAAGACUUAUUUAUUUAUUUGAAAGUCAGAGUUAGAGAAGGAGAGGCAGAGAGAGAGAGAGAAAGAGAAAGAGGUCUUCCAUCCACUGGGUCACUCCCCACUUGGCCACAAUGUCUAGAGCUGUGCUGAUCCAAAGCCAGGAGCCAGGAGCUGCUUCUAGGUCUCGCACGUGGGUUCAGGGGCCCAAGGACUUGGGCCAUCUUCCACGGCUUUCUCAGGCCAUAGCAGAGAGCUGGAUUGGAAGUGGAGCAGCCGGCACUCAAACUGGUGCCCAUGUGGGGUGCCAGCACUGCAGGUGGUAGCUUUACCUGCUGCUCCACAGCACCAGCCCCUACAUUCACAUUACUUUUAUUAUGGAAUGCUGAUAAUGUUUAUUGUAUUUUAUCAUUGUUACUUUCUUACUAUGCCUAAUUUAUAAAUGAAACUUCACCAUACGUUUGUGUUAUAGGAAUAAAUAUUAUGUGUACAAGGUUCAGAACUCUGUGCAUUGCAGGCAUCCUCCGGGGAUCUUGGAAGAUAUCCCCUGAUGAUAUGGGGGGACUACUAUAGUUUGAAAUAAAAGAAUAUUCUAUCUCGCCCUCCUAGAGAAAGACAAAAGAACAGAUCUGCACUGAAUUUUAUGAAAAAAUUUUUGGAGAAAAAAAUUAAAUGCUUAAAGCCAAUCUGUUUAAAUGGAAUUAUUAUGGUGAAAAAUAAUAACUGGGUGUUCUCUCUCUCCUUUGGCUGAGAGCACUCAACUUUCACACUAAAUCACUUCCCAGAGGUUGGUAGUCAGGUCUGUUUUCACUGCAGAACCUGAAGAUUAAUUAUUUCUUGCUCUGGUAAUAACUUCUCUGACUCAGUUCAUGUCAACAAGAUACUCUGGAAACAAAACAUGUUUUCUGAAACACUUUACAUAACACAGCUUUAUAGAUCUGCCUUUCACAUCUAAGUUCUUAGUGUAGGAAAUUAACUUCAAGCAAUUUUUCCAUCCAAAAUGGAUAUCAUCUUCCUUUUCUCCAAAAUAUUUGAACUUUAUAUUGGCACAUAUCCAUGUGACAGUUAAAAUUACUGUGAACCCUUGGAGAGUUCAAGUUGUAUUCUUCUUUAUAUCAGGAACCUAGCCCAGUGCAAGGCACACAAAAGAUAAAGAGUGGCUUUUUCGGUUUUGAUUUUUUUUUCUGGUGUACUCUGAAGACCAUUUAAAAUUGUUAUCCAGAAUGUAUUAACCAAUGAUUCUGUUAAAACAAUUCCUUAGUACUGAGUCAUAGCCAUGAAUAUUCACUGAAUGGUUUCUUUGCAUCUGGGGUUAGGCAGUAGGUGAGAUAUUAGGUUAAGACAGUAAAGCAGUCAUAGAACUUAAUCAGAAAAUCCCAAAGAAAUCACAUUAAAAUCUUAGAGGCCAGAGGAGUAAGCAGCAUUUGGAAUGCCGGCAUGCCAUAUCCAAGUGCCAGUUCCAGUCCCAGCUAUUCCACCUCUGAUCCAGCUCCCCACUAAUGGAUCCUGGGAGGCAGCAGUGAUGUAGGCCCCUGCCGUCUACAUGGGACAUCCAGAUGGAGUUCCUACCUCCUGGCUUCAGCCUGGCCCAGCCUGAGAUGCUGGGCCUCUGGGUUGAAAACCAGUGGACACAAGCUCCCCGCCGUGCUGUCUCUGUCUGUCUCUCUCCCUUUCCAGCUCUGCCUUCCAAGUAGAUGAAAAUAAGUAAACAUUAAAAAAUAAUAAUCAGUAGCCUUAAAAAAUAAAUUAAUAUUACAGAAUGCAAGAACCAGCUGCUAAGGGGAAGUACAUAAAAGUGAAGCCAUAAAAUAAAGCUUUAGCUACAUUAAUCGCUCAUGAAACCCAAGAGACAUGUAAAGCAACUUCCUAUUCUGAUGGUAUAAGAAAGAAAAGAAGACCACUGAUUGCACUGUUUGUAAUUUACUGAGUUUUUUUUAAUCAUGCAUGGAUACUACAUGUUGAAAAAAGUCCUUCAGCAUGUUUUGAUACUCAUACAGCUUUUCUUGUUACUGUUAAUAUAGUGAAUUACACUGACUACUUUUCAAAUGUUUAUCUUGCAUUAUUGUGGUAAACAAUUUUAUCAAGAUGUAUUAUCUUUCACAUGUAUUCUUUUCGUUUGCUUUGGUAUUCAUGAAGGUAUUCCUCUGUUAUAUCAGAAUAGGACUGGCUUCAAAAGGUCUAAGAAUUGAUAUUAUUCCUUAAGUAGGUGAUGUAUUCCAUCAGUGAAGUCAUCUGGGGCUAGUUUUUUAAAAUAAAUAUAGGGUUCUCAGGUUAUGUAUUUCUUCUUGAGUGAGCGUUCCUUGUUGGUGUCUUUCAAAGGAAAUUGAAAACAGAAAUUUCAAAGGAAAUUUCAUGUACGUUAUACAUAUUUUUGGCAGAAGGCUCAUAAUAUUUCAUUAUUAUUCAUUUAAUAUUUUUGGUAUCUGGAGUGAUGUCCACUUUCUGAGUCCUGGUACUGGUCAUUUAUUUUUUCUGUCUUGUUCCUGAACGCUUUAACUAAAAAUUUACUUAUUUUCUUGACUUAGUUAAUGAAUUAGGUUUCCUUGAGGUUCUUCUUUCGUCUUCUAUUAACUUACAUUCUUCUCUACUGUUUUUGCUGCCUCCUUUGCAACUUACUUGCACCUACUUUUAUUCCCUUUCCCUUUCUUCUAGAACUCCAGCUACACAUGUAUUAGAUCGGAAUUUUUCCCACGGCUCUCUGAUCCUCUUUAUUCUUUAUUCAGCUUUUUUCUUUCUGGUUCAUUUUGUGCAGUAUCUCUUGCUCUUUCUCCAGUGUUUCAUGUAUUGUUAACCCCAUUCAAUAUAGUUUUCAUUUUCCCACCAGUGGAAAUUUACUAGGAUUGCUUUUCUAUUUUCAGUGUCUGUCUUAACAUCCUUAAGCUGUCUCCUCCUUAUCCAACAUGUGGAGUGGGAUUGUAAUUGCUGCUCUCCUGCCGUUGUCUGCUAGUUCUUUAAUCUAUACCAGUUUCUAAAUUGAUUUUCCUACUCAUUGUUGGUCAUAGUUUCUGCUACUUUGUAUACCAUGGGGGUUUCGUUUCGAAGCUGCAUGCUGAGAAUUCGGUUACUGGGUGCUACACUUGGUGCCCUUCUGUGAUUCAGAGCUGUGUUCUGGGACCCGUGUGGUUACUUCAGUACAGUCUUUUCUUACCCAUGUCCCAGCAACCUGCAAAUUAUGCAGAGCACUUCAAUAAAAGACAUUUUCUACAUAAAA
Non-coding RNA from Oryctolagus cuniculus (rabbit), 8241 nucleotides. Lineage: Eukaryota; Metazoa; Chordata; Mammalia; Lagomorpha; Leporidae. The record is from RefSeq and is a predicted model, not a curated record.